CCUACGGGCGGCAGCAGUGGGGAAUUUUGCGCAAUGCUCGUACGAGUGACGCAGCGACGCCGCGUGAGUGACGAAGGCCCUCGGGUCGUAAAGUUCUUUCGACAGGGAAGAAACUGCCUAUACGUAACUGUGUAUGUAUUGACGGUACCUGUAUAAGCAGCCCCGGCUAACUCCGUGCCAGCAGCCGCGGUAAUACGGUGGGGGCGUGCGGUGUUCGGAGUGACUGGGCGUAAAGGGCACGUAGGCGGUGUUGUAAGUCAUUAGUCAAAGACUAGAGCUCAACUUUAGUAAGGCUAGUGAUACUAUAAUACUAGAGUAUCAGAGAGGAAUGCAGAAUGCCUGGUGUAGCGGUGAAAUGCGUAGAUAUCAGGAGGAAUACCGUUAGCGAAGGCGGCAAUCUGGCUGGAAACUGACGCUGAGGUGCGAAAGCGUGGGUAGCAAACAGGAUUAGAUACCCGGGUAGUC
Molecule: ribosomal RNA, 465 nt
Filed under: uncultured bacterium
Lineage: Bacteria
Description: partial 16S ribosomal RNA
Rfam family: Bacterial small subunit ribosomal RNA
Source: RNAcentral